GUCUAUGGCCAUGCCACCCUGAAUAAAAUUGAUCCUGUCUGAUCUUGGAAGCUAAGCAGUGUUGGGCCUGGUUAGUACUUGGAUGGGAGACCACCUAGGAAGACCAGGUGCUGUAGGCA
Molecule: ribosomal RNA, 119 nt
Filed under: Pteropus alecto (black flying fox)
Lineage: Eukaryota; Metazoa; Chordata; Mammalia; Chiroptera; Pteropodidae
Source: RNAcentral